UAAGACGGAGGGGGCUAGCGUUGUUCGGAAUUACUGGGCGUAAAGAGCGCGUAGGCGGAUUGAUAAGUUGGGAGUGAAAGCCCGGGGCUUAACCUCGGAAUUGCUUCCAAAACUGUCAAUCUAGAGUGUGGUAGGGGGUGAUGGAAUUCCUAGUGUAGAGGUGAAAUUCUUAGAUAUUAGGAGGAACACCGGUGGCGAAGGCGGUCACCUGGGCCACAACUGACGCUGAUGCGCGAAAGCGUGGGGAGCAAACAGG
RNAcentral lists this ribosomal RNA (256 nucleotides) under uncultured bacterium. RNAcentral describes it as "partial 16S ribosomal RNA". It matches the Rfam family "Bacterial small subunit ribosomal RNA", at positions 521 to 776 of the family's 1533-position model. The record is from RNAcentral.